ACCCCCCAUUCCCAUGGAGAACUCAGGUAGCCCCUAAUGAUCCUGCCCUCUCUGCGCUGGGCCUGGGUCUGUUCAUUUCCUGAGUGGGAGGCUGGGACCUCACAACUCUUAGGGGCAUGGCCUGGCGCUUCUCAUAUCUCCCAUCUCUCUGCAGAGGCCAGAGCUGCCAAAGGAUGAGGGCUCGGCCCUACGGCCGCGUGAUCCCAUCCACAGGUCUGGAGGCCCCUCAGCUGAGCCUCAGCCCCUGACCUGCCUGGGCUCAGCUCCCACCUGGCCUGGUGGCUGCCAUGUGUAGCUCAUGCUUUACAUCUCCCCGUUCUCCAGAAUCUUCCAUGCAUGCCACGACUCCCUGGACCUGGAGACUUUUGACUACAUCACCCAAUAUGUCCCUCAAGACACCCUCCAUCAUCAUGUCUUCCAAGAAAAAGGUGAAGCUCCCUCCCCCAGGCCUAUACACACCUACCUAUGUCCACGCUUUCGUGUUCACUGAUCUAGGCCUGUGUGUGUGUGUGUGUGUGUGUGUCUGCACUACUGUAGCCCCGCUGUUUACACUUGCCUCAGCCUGAGGGGCUGUGCUCCUAAUGCCUGCCCCUACAUCGGUGUACAUAGUCUGUUUCGUCUGCACGGAGUCUGCCAGCCCUCACCGGCACCCUCUGCACGUGGCAGACCAGACCAGCGACACGCCAUGGAUGUUCAAACACACACAACUCCAGCAUCACCAGGACCAGCAAGACCAGCAGUGCUCCCAGGCUCCAGGGGGUCCCAGAUCCUGGAGGGCCCAGACAAGCUGUUGGCUUCAACUGCCUCAAGAGAUAGGACGAAGGCCCCAUCUGAGUGACCUUAUCUAUUUGUUACUUUCAAUCACCUGUCAACAACCUUCCAGCUCCCAGGAUGUCACCAGACCUGAUUCCAACUGCCUCCCGGACUUCUCUAAAUGUCCCCAGGCUCUCAGCCUCACCAGAUUCAAACCAUUCUCAUCAUCUCUCCCCCAACCCCUAACCAGCGCUGAUAUCCCCCAAGGUGACUUCACCAUCAUGCUCACUUCCUCCGGUUCCCUCCCACCACGGCCAAUCCCUCAGCAAAAACUGCUGGCUCAAUCUCCUUAACAGCUCUGGCAUCUUCAUCCUUACCACCCCACAGCUGCUCCUGACCUGGUCCAGGCCACCACUGUGCCUCCCGACUGGCUCUCCCACCCCAGCUUCGUCUCAUUAGCUGGCUCUCACAUGCCCAUCUGAUCAUGUUGCUUCCUUGUCUGAGCCUGUCCCUGGAUCCCUGAAACCCCCAAA
Long non-coding RNA from Bubalus bubalis (water buffalo), 1286 nucleotides. RefSeq lists it as uncharacterized. The transcript has 2 exons. The record is from RefSeq and is a predicted model, not a curated record. Lineage: Eukaryota; Metazoa; Chordata; Mammalia; Artiodactyla; Bovidae.